RNAcentral lists this ribosomal RNA (387 nucleotides) under Triticum aestivum (bread wheat). Its description in RNAcentral is "partial small subunit ribosomal RNA". The record is from RNAcentral. Lineage: Eukaryota; Viridiplantae; Streptophyta; Magnoliopsida; Poales; Poaceae.
AUGGACACUCCAUUUAGAGGUGGAGUGCAUAACAGUACCAUGCCCCCUGUGUUCCAAAUUGGAUCAGGAAAAGCGGUCUUUCCGGGCAAUGAUUCAAUCCAAAAGGCAAGAGCUAUUUUAGGAGUACUUUUCAGGAAGGCAAUAUCCCUUUUACUGGUCUUCUAUCUUCUAUGUAAAAGCAUCACAAAAUUACCCAGUCUAUCAUUUAGUGAGGGAUGUUCCAAGUUAUACAACACUGUCACACUUCAGUGUGGUGAAAAAAAUUACUACACAAAUAAACUGGAUCUUUACAACUUUGGCAUCGUCCUGUGGAAGUUGCUGACCAAUAAAAUGCCAUUAGAAGGCAUGUUGAAUUUUCAAGCUGCAUAUAUAUGCUGCUGCUUUUAA